Molecule: small nuclear RNA, 107 nt
Organism: Gorilla gorilla gorilla (western lowland gorilla)
Lineage: Eukaryota; Metazoa; Chordata; Mammalia; Primates; Hominidae
Source: Ensembl
GUGCUUGCUGCAGUAGCACAUAUACUAAAAUUGGAAGGAUACAGAGAAGAUGAGCAUGGCCCCUGCACAAGGAUGACACACAAAUCCAUGAUGCAUUCCAUAUUUUC